GCCAAUUUUGGGCUGGCUUCAUUUUUUAAAUGUUAGCCUUUGCCCAUAUUCUUGGCAGGAAAUUAUUUCUGUGUUUUCCAUACAUGGAAGAAGAUGUUGAGAAACUGGCUUCUCUCCCCUGGAAGUUUUCCCUGUUUAGAUGAGCGGAGGAGGCAGGAAGUAUCUCGUUUCGGGGGCUCAGAUUAAUUUCCUACUCAUGCCUGGUACCUGGCUGUGGAUGUUCUUAAUGGCUGUAGAUAUUUCAGGCUCAGCUAGUGAAAAGGAGGCUGGAAAGAAAAUUACCUGAAAAUGCAUUGUUUGCAUGAGUUGAAGAUAAAAAAAAAUUGUGGCUUUUAAAGCUGCAAUUUACUGUGACCUAGCCAAGCUAGGCAGUGGGUAGAGUAUAAAUUAUAGUCACCAGAUACCUGGUUUAUAGACAGAGGCUUAGGAUCCUACGUGGUGAGGGGUAAAAACAGACUGCUAUGAAGCGGAGUGACCUGGAGGUCGGACACAUUCUGUGGAACUACUUUGCCGCUUUUCGUCCUCAAAUAAAGGGUGAGAUGGUGAAGACGAAAGGACAGAAGUCUGGCUUUCAGGGGGAGAGGACAGCAAUGGCUGACAUGCUGGAAAAACCAAUGAGGGGCCCCAAAAGGAAGUGCUUCUCUAGCACUGACUGAAGGAACUGCCUGCGCGGUGUGGUCACUCCACUGAUCCUGGGAGAAGCACACGGCCACAUCUUUGAACGUUACCAGUCCCUGAAUCAACACAAGGAUUAAUCAGAAUGCGAUGCUUCUGGUAGACUCACAGUUUGUUCCGGGAUGAACCCUUAUGUACAAGCAGAAUCCAUCCAGGAGACAAAAGGAACCCUAACAGGCUACGAGGCUUCCUCUCAGGAGGCCGUGCCCCACGUGUCUCACUUCCCGACUUUCUGUCUCUGGGAAAGCACUGGCCCUUGUUCUGCCCCUCCAGCACCCUGGUUUCCCUGAGGGCAGGCCUGUAUUUUUUUUUCUUCAUUAAAAGAGUAUUAUUUAAAACUCAGGAAAGUUCAUCAUUCAACUAUUUGAUGUUUUAAUGGUACAUUCUUCUCUGCAAAAAUUGAUCUUUUCCUACAAGCUAUUCCUAAUUAACCCUAUCUAAUCAUCCUUUCACUUGGAUUCCGUAGCGUAAGACAUUUUCCUCAGCUAGAUGACAAUGUAAAACCAUGGAUGAAUCCUCUUUCCACCUUCUGCCACAUAGUUUAGCUUUAGGGCUCUGAACAUG
Molecule: long non-coding RNA, 1239 nt
Organism: Cavia porcellus (domestic guinea pig)
Lineage: Eukaryota; Metazoa; Chordata; Mammalia; Rodentia; Caviidae
Exons: 3
Source: RefSeq, a predicted model, not a curated record